AUGAUGAUACAAACUAGAAUUAUAAAUACGGUUAGAACCUGAAUUUUUGUGAAGAUUUUCUAGGGCGGACUGAUGAA
RNAcentral lists this small nucleolar RNA (77 nucleotides) under Operophtera brumata (winter moth). RNAcentral's name for it is "Small nucleolar RNA U43". It matches the Rfam family "Small nucleolar RNA U43". The record is from Rfam by way of RNAcentral. Lineage: Eukaryota; Metazoa; Arthropoda; Insecta; Lepidoptera; Geometridae.